GAGUUCAUGACUAUAUACAGAUAAUACAAACGGAUCCGUUCAUGACGGAUGCAUUUGGUUGUAUUAUUGUGACGGAUCCGUUUUUGCAGAUCCAUGACGUGAAAGUAGCCUUACUUGCAACAUUUUCCUUCCAAAUGAUAAUAUCAAAUAAACAUCUCUGAUUUUUGAAAGGCUUAAAGGGAGUCUGUCACCUGUUUUUCACCAAUAUAACUAAGAGCACUGCCCCACAGAAGAUUGCAUACACAUCUCAAGCAUACCUGUAUGUACUAUGUGUCUGUAUUCCAUGUCCAGGAAAAGCACUUUUAUUCUGCUGGAAAACAUCUCCCAAGUGCCCGGCUCUGCUGCUCCAAGUGCCCAAAGCAAACCAGACUGAAGGGGGAGGGCUGCUUUAGCUGCUCAUAUAUUAGGAUUGGUACCAGCUAGAAACAUGACCUUGUCAGGUCAUGUUAUCCACAGCAUUAUAUCCACUAUAUCAGAAGAUAUAGCCGUUAGAAAUAGAGUCAGGUCAUGUUAUCCACAGCAUUAUAUCCACUAUAUCAGAAGAUAUAGCCGUUAGAAAUCGAGUCAGGUCAUGUUAUCCACUGCAUUAUAUCCACUAUAUCAGAAGAUAUAGCCGUUAGAAAUCGAGUCAGGAGUGAAAGCUGUUUUUACUGCCGGGCACUUGGGAGCUGUUUUCCAGCAGAAUAAAGGUACUUUUACUGGACAUGGAAUACAGACACAUAGUGCACACAGGUAUGCUUGGGAUGUGUAUGCAAUCUUCUAUGGGGCAGUGCUCUUAGUUAUAUUGGGGAAAAUUAGGUGACAGACUCCCUUUAAGGCUACAGUUUGCUGGUCAGGUACAUGUAUUAGACCCUGCUAAUGUGUGAGUAAACUGAUUUGAAAAACACAGAUGAUGUCUUCUACCAAUAUGAUCUACUUUCUUUUAAUGAGGCUCUGACAGCAGUUUUGACCAUGCCACCGCAGAGGGCACUUCACGAUAAGGGACCCGACCACCACCAAGCACUUGUGAGAGCAGCAGCCCACAGAUGAAAGUUUAGAUUAUCAGUACCUUCUUAUAAUAAAAUCUGCAAUGAAAGGUAUGAUUACCCACCUUGCCCCAGCCCCAACCUAGUGCUGUCAUCAGUUUUGCAAGGUCAAAACUGCUGACAGACUCUACUUAAGAUAAAUACACUGGGGGAGAUUUAUAUAAAAGGGGGAGAAGUUAUGCACAGGAACCAGUAUGGUAUGGUGACCACUUAUAUUUUCCAAAUGGCAUCUACAAGAUGAUUGGUCACUAUAGACCAGGGAUCAGCAACCUCCAGCACUCCAGCUGUUCUGAAACUACAACCUCCAAAAAGCUCCAUUCACAUCCAUGGCAUUUACAAGAAUAGCCAAGAAAGUGUGCAUGCUGGGAGUUGCAGUUUCACAGCACCUGGAGUGCUGAUGGGUGCUGACCCCUACUAUAGCCAAAAAUAAUAAUAAAAAAUUCAAUCAAAGAGGUAGCCCCAUUUUAAGCAUUUAUGGCAUAACAACAGAUUACGCCUGAUAGAUGUAGGUCCCAGGUGGACUGGAAACUUAAAGUGGCCCUGGAAAAAAAUAAAAUAACUACAAGUGGUCCC
Bufo bufo (common toad) is the source of this 1598-nucleotide long non-coding RNA. RefSeq lists it as uncharacterized. The transcript has 2 exons. NCBI's taxonomy places the organism in Eukaryota, Metazoa, Chordata, Amphibia, Anura, Bufonidae. The record is from RefSeq and is a predicted model, not a curated record.